UAACGAGCGCAACCCACGUCGUUAGUUGCCAACAGGUCAAGCUGGGAACUCUAACGAGACUGCCGGUGUAAACCGCGAGGAAGGUGUGGAUGACGUCAAAUCAGCACGGCCCUUACAUCCAGGGCUACACACGUGUUACAAUGGUCGGUACAGAGGGCAGCUACCAGGCAACUGGAUGCGAAUCUCAAAAACCGGUCUCAGUUCGGAUUGGAGUCUGCAACCCGACUCCAUGAAGCUGGAUUCGCUAGUAAUCGCGCAUCAGCCAUGGCGCGGUGAAUACGUUCCCGGGCCUU
RNAcentral lists this ribosomal RNA (293 nucleotides) under uncultured Alkaliflexus sp. RNAcentral describes it as "partial 16S ribosomal RNA". It matches the Rfam family "Bacterial small subunit ribosomal RNA", at positions 1090 to 1382 of the family's 1533-position model. Lineage: Bacteria; Pseudomonadati; Bacteroidota; Bacteroidia; Marinilabiliales; Marinilabiliaceae. The record is from RNAcentral.